UACGGAUUGAAGUUGUGGACAUCAAU
Molecule: non-coding RNA, 26 nt
Filed under: Homo sapiens (human)
Lineage: Eukaryota; Metazoa; Chordata; Mammalia; Primates; Hominidae
Source: RNAcentral